This 73-nucleotide transfer RNA is filed under the name Agrilus planipennis (emerald ash borer). It matches the Rfam family "tRNA". From Rfam's summary of the family: Transfer RNA (tRNA) molecules are approximately 80 nucleotides in length. Lineage: Eukaryota; Metazoa; Arthropoda; Insecta; Coleoptera; Buprestidae. The record is from Rfam by way of RNAcentral.
CCUCUUGUAGCUUAGUGGUCAGAGCAUUGGUGCGUAAAGCCAAAGGUCCCGGGUUCGAUUCCCGACAAGCGUG